Molecule: ribosomal RNA, 269 nt
Filed under: uncultured prokaryote
Description: partial 16S ribosomal RNA
Rfam family: Bacterial small subunit ribosomal RNA
Source: RNAcentral
UACGUAGGUGGCAAGCGUUGUCCGGAUUUACUGGGCGUAAAGGAUGCGUAGGCGGACAUUUAAGUCAGAUGUGAAAUACCCGAGCUUAACUUGGGUGCUGCAUUUGAAACUGGGUGUCUAGAGUGCAGGAGAGGUAAGUGGAAUUCCUAGUGUAGCGGUGAAAUGCGUAGAGAUUAGGAAGAACACCAGUGGCGAAGGCGACUUACUGGACUGUAACUGACGCUGAGGCAUGAAAGCGUGGGGAGCAAACAGGAUUAGAUACCCCCGUA